UUCUAUGGCCAUACCACCCUGAACGUGCCCGAUCUCGUCUGACCUUGGAAGCUAAGCAGGGUUAGGCCUAGUUAGUAUUUGGAUGGGAGACUUUUGACAAGAAAGUGAUGACAUUGCCC
RNAcentral lists this ribosomal RNA (119 nucleotides) under Prolemur simus (greater bamboo lemur). Lineage: Eukaryota; Metazoa; Chordata; Mammalia; Primates; Lemuridae. The record is from RNAcentral.